RNAcentral lists this ribosomal RNA (467 nucleotides) under uncultured bacterium. RNAcentral's name for it is "partial 16S ribosomal RNA". It matches the Rfam family "Bacterial small subunit ribosomal RNA", at positions 28 to 507 of the family's 1533-position model. The record is from RNAcentral.
GACGAACGCUGGCGGCGUGCUUAACACAUGCAAGUCGAACGGAAAGGCCUCUUUCGGGGGGUACUCGCGUGGCGAACGGGUGAGUAACACGUGAGUAACCUGCCCUUGACUUUGGGAUAACUUCAGGAAACUGGGGCGAAUACCGGAUAGGAGCUCCUGCUGCAUGGUGGGGGUUGGAAAGUUUCGGCGGUUGGGGAUGGACUCGCGGCUUAUCAGCUUGUUGGUGGGGUAGUGGCUUACCAAGGCUUUGACGGGUAGCCGGCCUGAGAGGGUGACCGGCCACCUUGGGACUGAGAUACGGCCCAGACUCCUACGGGAGGCAGCAGUGGGGAAUAUUGCACAAUGGGUGGAAGCCUGAUGCAGCAACGCCGUGUGCGGGAUGACGGCCUUCGGGUUGUAAACCGCUUUCGCUCAUGACGAAGCUUUGUGUGACGGUAGUGGGUAAAGAAGCACCGGCUAACUACGUG